GAUGAACGCUGGCGGCGUGCCUAAUACAUGCAAGUAGAACGCUGAAGGAAGGAGCUUGCUCUUUCCGGAUGAGUUGCGAACGGGUGAGUAACGCGUAGGUAACCUGCCUGGUAGCGGGGGAUAACUAUUGGAAACGAUAGCUAAUACCGCAUAACAGUAGAUGUUGCAUGAUAUCUACUUAAAAGGUGCAAUUGCACCACUACCAGAUGGACCUGCGUUGUAUUAGCUAGUUGGUGAGGUAACGGCUCACCAAGGCGACGAUACAUAGCCGACCUGAGAGGGUGAUCGGCCACACUGGGACUGAGACACGGCCCAGACUCCUACGGGAGGCAGCAGUAGGGAAUCUUCGGCAAUGGACGGAAGUCUGACCGAGCAACGCCGCGUGAGUGAAGAAGGUUUUCGGACCGUAAAGCUCUGUUGUAAGAGAAGAACGAGUGUGAGAGUGGAAAGUUCACACUGUGACGGUAUCUUACCAGAAAGGGACGGCUAACUACGUG
Molecule: ribosomal RNA, 497 nt
Filed under: uncultured bacterium
Lineage: Bacteria
Description: partial 16S ribosomal RNA
Rfam family: Bacterial small subunit ribosomal RNA
Source: RNAcentral